Molecule: ribosomal RNA, 892 nt
Filed under: uncultured prokaryote
Description: bacterial SSU rRNA
Rfam family: Bacterial small subunit ribosomal RNA
Source: RNAcentral
AUUGGGCGUAAAGAGCUCGUAGGCGGUUCAGUCAGUCGGGUGUGAAAACUUGAGGCUCAACCUCAAGAGGCCACUCGAUACUGCUGUGACUAGAGUCCGGUAGAGGAGUGUGGAAUUCCUGAUGUAGCGGUGAAAUGCGCAGAUAUCAGGAGGAACACCGACAGCGAAGGCAGCACUCUGGGCCGGUACUGACGCUGAGGAGCGAAAGCAUGGGGAGCAAACAGGAUUAGAUACCCUGGUAGUCCAUGCCGUAAACGUUGGGCACUAGGUGUGGGGUCUCGCUAACAGAUUCCGUGCCGCAGCUAACGCAUUAAGUGCCCCGCCUGGGGAGUACGGCCGCAAGGCUAAAACUCAAAGGAAUAGACGGGGGCCCGCACAAGCGGCGGAGCAUGUUGCUUAAUUCGAGGCAACGCGAAGAACCUACCUGGGUUUGACAUGUAGGGAAAAGCCAUAGAGAUAUGGUGUCCCUAGGGGCCCUACACAGGUGGUGCAUGGCUGUCGUCAGCUCGUGUCGUGAGAUGUUGGGUUAAGUCCCGCAACGAGCGCAACCCUUGUCCUAUGUUGCCAGCGGAUAAUGCCGGGGACUCGUAGGAGACUGCCGGGGUCAACUCGGAGGAAGGUGGGGACGACGUCAAGUCAUCAUGCCCCUUAUAUCCAGGGCUGCAAACAUGCUACAAUGGCCGGUACAGAGGGCUGCAAAACCGCGAGGUUGAGCGAAUCCCACAAAGCCGGUCUCAGUUCGGAUUGGAGUCUGCAACUCGACUCCAUGAAGGCGGAGUCGCUAGUAAUCCCGGAUCAGCAACGCCGGGGUGGAUACGUUCCCGGGCCUUGUACACACCGCCCGUCACACCACGAAAGUCAGCAACACCCGAAGUCAGUGGCCUAACUCUUA